Molecule: ribosomal RNA, 490 nt
Filed under: uncultured bacterium
Lineage: Bacteria
Description: partial 16S ribosomal RNA
Rfam family: Bacterial small subunit ribosomal RNA
Source: RNAcentral
AUUGAACGCUGGCGGCAGGCCUAACACAUGCAAGUCGAAUGGUAACAGGAAACAGCUUGCUGUUUCGCUGACGAGUGGCGGACGGGUGAGUAAUGUCUGGGAAACUGCCUGAUGGAGGGGGAUAACUACUGGAAACGGUAGCUAAUACCGCAUAACGUCGCAAGACCAAAGAGGGGGACCUUCGGGCCUCUUGCCAUCAGAUGUGCCCAGAUGGGAUUAGCUAGUAGGUGGGGUAACGGCUCCCCUAGGCGACGAUCCCUAGCUGGUCUGAGAGGAUGACCAGCCACACUGGAACUGAGACACGGUCCAGACUCCUACGGGAGGCAGCAGUGGGGAAUAUUGCACAAUGGGCGCAAGCCUGAUGCAGCCAUGCCGCGUGUAUGAAGAAGGCCUUCGGGUUGUAAAGUACUUUCAGCGGGGAGGAAGGGAGUAAAGUUAAUACCUUUGCUCAUUGACGUUACCCGCAGAAGAAGCACCGGCUAACUCCGUG